RNAcentral lists this ribosomal RNA (305 nucleotides) under uncultured bacterium. RNAcentral's name for it is "bacterial SSU rRNA". It matches the Rfam family "Bacterial small subunit ribosomal RNA", at positions 338 to 660 of the family's 1533-position model. The record is from RNAcentral.
CCUACGGGAGGCAGCAGUGGGGAAUAUUGCACAAUGGGGGAAAUCCUGAUGCAGCGAUGCCGCGUGGAGGAAGAAGGUUUUCGGAUUGUAAACUCCUUUUAUCAGGGACGAUAAUGACGGUACCUGAAGAAAAAGCUCCGGCUAACUACGUGCCAGCAGCCGCGGUAAUACGUAGGGAGCGAGCGUUGUCCGGAAUUACUGGGUGUAAGGGGAGCGUAGGCGGGACGGCAAGUCAGAUGUGAAAACUGAGGGCUCAACCUUCAGACUGCAUUUGAAACUGCUGUCCUUGAGUGAAGUAGAGGUAA